CAUGGAUUAGUUGCCCAUUCAAAUUCAAACAUCCUUUGAAUUUGAAUGGCCAACAAACCAAUCUUUAUCUAGAUAAAUGGCACACAAGGGAGGGUGUGGGAAGGCUUCUGUGUGGGAGAAAAUUUAUGAGAAGUUGUUUCUCGUGAAUUCAAAUGGGCACAGAUAAGUGAGGUGGCACAGGGAGAUGAGGUCAAAGUGGUUUCAACCUAAUUGAGCCAACCUAAUCAAAAUAGGUUAGGCACAAUUAGACUAAGUUAAACCCAACUUAAUUAAGCUUAAUUAGGCUCAAUAAAAUCUUAAUCAAAUCAAGAAUUGACUAAACCCAACCCC
This 330-nucleotide long non-coding RNA is filed under the name Elaeis guineensis (African oil palm). RNAcentral describes it as "long non-coding RNA (EGUI_LNC059795)". The record is from RNAcentral. Lineage: Eukaryota; Viridiplantae; Streptophyta; Magnoliopsida; Arecales; Arecaceae.